GUGCAGGAUAAGUUACAAUGCAGCUUGUUUGGUGCUGCUUUGUCGUUCCCCCUGCAGAUAGUAACCUGUUUCCUCGCUAUACCUGUCAGUCACUAUCUUGACUGCCAGGGACGUAAGGUUUCAGACAC
Micropterus dolomieu (smallmouth bass) is the source of this 128-nucleotide small nucleolar RNA. RefSeq annotates it as small nucleolar RNA SNORA63. The record is from RefSeq and is a predicted model, not a curated record. The transcript has a single exon. Lineage: Eukaryota; Metazoa; Chordata; Actinopteri; Centrarchiformes; Centrarchidae.